UAAUUGCAUCUUAUUGACAUCCAAUAUCAAACCUAUUUGCAUCUCAAUACAAUCAGUCUAUAUUGCCAUCUACUUACACCAUCUUAAUAGUUUCCAACUUAAUUGCAUCUUAAGAUACCUAAUUCAACCAAUUUAUAUUACCAUAAAACUCAUUUCAAAAUGUUUGCAUAAGCAUUAAAGAUCCACAAUGCACCUACUUGCUCAAGUAUGCCAUGUGGACACAACUCUCUCUCAAUAUCAUACAUAAAUUGUGGUUAAAUCCUAAACCCUAAACUUGGUCUCAAGGUAAUGAAAUCAUGGGUAAACCCAAGCCCUAAACCCUAAAAGUGUGAAGGUCAUCGUUGUCGAUCCACACAAUCCCCACGUCCACACUCGCAGCAACACCGCUCAAGCUUGAACGUCCACUACUGUCUCCCGAGCCCAAAUGGGAGAGAGAUGUUAGUAAGUAAGUAAGUUUGGGUGUUAGCGCUACCUCUGUACUUGUGAUGCAUCACUGUAAUCGACCACACACCAUGAAAAGAAUUCACACACACGCACACACAUAUAUAAAUAUAUAUAUAAAUAUAUAUAUAAAUAUAUAUAUAAAUAUAUAUAUUUAUAUAUUAUAUUUAUAUAUAUUUAUAUAUAUUUAUCGAGAGAGAGAGAUAAGUAUCUGUCUUUCUAUUUUAGUUUUUUUUUAAAAAAAAUCUAGACCGCCACAUGUGGCAGAGAAGUAGAUGAGAGCAAGAGAGGACACAAAUUGGGUGUGUGUGUGUAUAUACAUCACAAUAGGGGGUGGUCAAGUGGGGAUGAUGUACAGGAGGAGGAGGAGGAAGAACAGGAGCGAGCGAGGGUAAUCAGCUUCUCCGGAGCGAGGGAGGAAAAACAAACACAGCAGUGAUUGAUUGCCUUGCCUCAUUGCACGAUUGAUUGAAUGAAGGAAUGGACACAUGAGAGGGCUAUCUCUCUCUGCCUCUCCCUCUCGCUCUCCCUCGACAUGCAUGCAUGCCCCCUCUUCGCCUCGUUUUCGCUAACUCUAGUGUGUGUGUGUGUGUGUGUGUGUGUGUUUGUGUCAUGAUGCCAUCAAUCUGGUGACAGUCGGCCAGUCGCAAUCCAACCCCACCGAGCAGACCAACUCUGGGUCCCGGAGCUCAUUGCUCCAGCUCAAGGGUCGGCGUCGGCGUUUGUCCUGGACAACCCCCCUCCGGACUACACUCACAGUUUUUUCUUCUCCUCCUCCAACAUGCUUCUAUGAAUAUAAAGUGACGCAACAACAAA
This 1257-nucleotide long non-coding RNA is filed under the name Physcomitrium patens. RNAcentral's name for it is "long non-coding RNA (PPAT_LNC003202)". The record is from RNAcentral. Lineage: Eukaryota; Viridiplantae; Streptophyta; Bryopsida; Funariales; Funariaceae.